UACGAAGGGGGCUAGCGUUGUUCGGAAUUAUUGGGCGUAAAGGGCGCGUAGGCGGCGCGGAUAGUCGGCGGUGAAAGCCCGGAGCUCAACUCCGGGUCGGCCGUCGAUACUUCCGGGCUUGAGCACUGUAGAGGCAGAUGGAAUUCCGGGUGUAGCGGUGGAAUGCGUAGAGAUCCGGAAGAACACCGGUGGCGAAGGCGGUCUGCUGGGCAGUUGCUGACGCUGAUGCGCGACAGCGUGGGGAGCAAACAGG
RNAcentral lists this ribosomal RNA (253 nucleotides) under uncultured bacterium. RNAcentral's name for it is "partial 16S ribosomal RNA". It matches the Rfam family "Bacterial small subunit ribosomal RNA", at positions 524 to 776 of the family's 1533-position model. The record is from RNAcentral.